CAGCUUUUAAUAUUAAUUUUAACACCAAGCAACUUGACUCCCAAGGAGUUUUUAAGUCAAAACACAUUUGAUUUUUGCUGAGCAGUUUGGGAUGGCAGAAUAAGCAGUUAUUGUCCGCUAAUGGACUGAAAGUAAGUGGAAAAAGGAGUAGCCAAAGUCUUCAUAAAAACUACAAGAUCUUCAGAAAGUCUUGGACACUGUUGAUAAAGACUAUUCUGGUGGAUUAUUUAAUAUGUAGAAUCAAAAUGUCUGAAUAACACCAAUCCAACUGUAAACGCUUUGAUUUCCCUGAUUUCCCAGUUUUCCUGAACUCCUCAUUGACCUGUUUGCGCAACAGAUGCUAGUGAGGCUAACGUUAGCCCAGCGAACCACUACAACGUCGGAGUUUAAUAAAUGCCAACUCGUUUCAACGCUUCCAAACGACGGUAAACACUAAUGAAAUGGGUGACCAGACUGAAACCUCUGGAGAGACUGCUGCUGCUGCUUGUUCUGGAGGAUGUCGACCUUGAAGAGGCUUGGUGGAUUUCAGCGAACGGUCGGCCGUCAUGGACUUGGACCGCAGCGUCAGCGACGUGCUAGGGGCUCGCUUCGGAGGGGGCGGAGCUAAGAGGUUGGUUUCUGACUUCCUGGAAACCGAGACGACCUUCAUCAGCAGGCGACUUCCUCCCUGUCGGAUCAGAGAGACCACCUGGCGGUGA
Long non-coding RNA from Poecilia latipinna (sailfin molly), 698 nucleotides. RefSeq lists it as uncharacterized. The record is from RefSeq and is a predicted model, not a curated record. The transcript has 5 exons. Lineage: Eukaryota; Metazoa; Chordata; Actinopteri; Cyprinodontiformes; Poeciliidae.